UUAUUAUCACGAAAGGAUAAAAAAGUUAUGAACUUUUUUUGAAGGAUUCCAAAAAGUUAGUUAAAUAAUAUUGAAUUCUUAUGAUUAUCAAGUUUAAUAUUUGAACUUCUUUCUAGAUGUGGAAAGGACAAACACAACACACUUAUAUACUCAAAAGACAUUUAUCAUUAUAAUUUUAUGAAGGGUUUUAAAAUUUAAAAAUGCCUAAUCUAUUUAAUUAUUUUUAUGGGAGCAUAAUUUUUAUACACUAUAAGUAUAUCAAAAGUUAUCGUAUUUUUUAGAUGCAAAGAACGUAAAAUAUGGCUGAAACUGUGAAAUAAAGAUUGUCCAAAUGGGAGAAAUUAUAUUGGUAGGUGUCGUAAAGGUCAAUGCCAACAGAGCCCACUGAGAUGAAUGAGUUCCUGCUCUAGCAAAAUAAUUGAAGAUUAUACUUUAUGCUGCAAUAUUUGAGGAGCUGUCAUUUGGUUUUUUGUGCAUGAACCAAAUAAUUAAAUUUUCUUUUUUCUUUUUCAAAUUUUAUGGACUUUGAAAUUAUGAUUUUGUACGUUUAAAUGUUGACAACGAAAUGAAAUAAUAUAGUAUAUCCUUAUCUCAUA
This is a long non-coding RNA of Medicago truncatula (barrel medic), 596 nucleotides long. RefSeq lists it as uncharacterized. NCBI's taxonomy places the organism in Eukaryota, Viridiplantae, Streptophyta, Magnoliopsida, Fabales, Fabaceae. The transcript has 2 exons. The record is from RefSeq and is a predicted model, not a curated record.